AUGAUGGUAGAAUCGACUUCGCACUCCUGAAAGCCGUUUAGGCUGUUGUGCAACCGUGUUGAGCCGGCGAACGUUCGAAAGAGGGAAGAAAGAAUGCCGGCAAUCCAACUAAACGAUGUUCGAUCAUGGAAAAUAAGUUACAAAGCAUACAAAGCUCGCUCGCCGUUGGAUGCUUGGACAAUUCCUUUUACAAGCAUUCGGUGACCAGUUUGCGUAACGUCUUGUCGCACG
Long non-coding RNA from Anopheles merus, 231 nucleotides. RefSeq lists it as uncharacterized. The transcript is spliced from 3 exons. Lineage: Eukaryota; Metazoa; Arthropoda; Insecta; Diptera; Culicidae. The record is from RefSeq and is a predicted model, not a curated record.